CAGUGUUCCCUGCCCUCACGGGUAGAAACGCCACCCUUGUGUAUAUUAUCAUGUUGCUUUGGUGGGCCGCCGUUAGGCACCGGCUUCGGCUGGCUCGCGCUCGCCAGAGAACCCCAAACUCUAAAUGUUAGUGUUGUCUGAGUACUAUCUAAUAGUUA
RNAcentral lists this unclassified non-coding RNA (158 nucleotides) under uncultured Cudoniella. Its description in RNAcentral is "sequence contains ITS1". The record is from RNAcentral. Lineage: Eukaryota; Fungi; Ascomycota; Leotiomycetes; Helotiales; Helotiaceae.